CCAAGGAGUCUAACAUGUGCGCGAGUCAUUGGGACUUUGAAAUAAGCCUAAAGGCGCAAUGAAAGUGAAGGUCAUCCCUAGCGUUGACCGAGGGAGGAUGGUUCGCGUCACGAUGCGAGCCCGCACUCCCGGGGCGUCUCGUGCUCAUUGCGAGCAGAGGCGCACCUAGAGCGUACACGUUGGGACCCGAAAGAUGGUGAACUAUGCCUGGUCAGGACGAAGUCAGGGGAAACCCUGAUGGAGGUCCGUAGCGAUUCUGACGUGCAAAUCGAUCGUCGGAACUGGGUAUAGGGGCGAAAGACUAAUCGAACCAUC
RNAcentral lists this ribosomal RNA (315 nucleotides) under Paraphytis sp. JWK-11. Its description in RNAcentral is "eukaryotic LSU rRNA". It matches the Rfam family "Eukaryotic large subunit ribosomal RNA", at positions 666 to 944 of the family's 3401-position model. Lineage: Eukaryota; Metazoa; Arthropoda; Insecta; Hymenoptera; Aphelinidae. The record is from RNAcentral.